Long non-coding RNA from Oreochromis aureus, 1039 nucleotides. RefSeq lists it as uncharacterized. Lineage: Eukaryota; Metazoa; Chordata; Actinopteri; Cichliformes; Cichlidae. The record is from RefSeq and is a predicted model, not a curated record. The transcript has 4 exons.
UAAAUAAAACAGACAACACCCAGUCUGACAUCCUUUUUUUUUUUUUUUUUUUAAAUGAGUUGCUGUUAUAGCACAAAGGUAUAGAUAUAAAGUUUAUGUAAUAGAUAAGAAGACAAAAAUAAAUUAAAAGAACAUCAAGAGCAGGUCCUGGUUUAUGGAAUCCGCUCGCUAUUGUUAUCGCUCUUUUAAUCUCUCUCGUAAUUUCUCUCUCUCUCUCUCACUGCCGUCACUUCCAAAAUUUUCAGGGGUUCCUAAACAACCAAAUAUCACGUCAAUAUCACAUAUCAUGUCCUUAGAAAAUGCAGUUUUUUACAGUUUCUUCACACACUGAACGUGACGAUAGUAUUCAGAUCAAAGUAUCCCGCUUUUUGUUUUUUAAUCAAAACUCUGGUUUUAGUGGCCUAUCAGUAAAAUUUUAAAGCUGGCACAUAAUUUGAAAUCGGAACUUUCAACAACAACGGAAUUGAAAUGGAGACUCAGCAUUGCUACAGCUUGUUGCUAUUUAAGUGUGCUGUAGCAAAAGGAUUUAAUCAGGUGUGUCCUUAAAUAUUGCCUAUUAGUGUUUCCUCUUAUAUUAAGAUCUGAAUGUUUUCUAAGAAUUACAAUUUCCCAGCAGUUACGCAAAUGAGAUUAAAUCAUCACUUGCAACUGUGUAUAAAAAGCUCCGCUGUCAGUACUGCAUUAUCACAAUCAUCCACAUCUCUGAGACAGUCUGCUGAAGUUGUGAAGACCUGAUGGUGAAAUAACUGAAACCAUGAUCAAGGUUGUGUUUCUGCUUGGAUGCCUGCUGAGCCUUGCUCUGGCAAAUCCUAAUGACUCAGCACACGAGCGCGAUGCACGUUCUUCAUCUGGGUAGGGGACUAUUGGGACCCUAAAUCGUCUUACCCUGCUUUUACCUCUUCUACAGAAUCCAACACUUCUGCAGAAUUCAACACUCCUUGCAGCUAUUCUUGCUGCUAUACGAUAAGCUGCUUCUUAACCAACAGCUAUUACACCACAAAGGAUGAAUUGAAAAUGAACAAACAAUGAAUAAAAACCU